CCUACGGGUGGCAGCAGUGGGGAAUAUUGCACAAUGGGGGAAACCCUGAUGCAGCGACGCCGCGUGAGUGAAGAAGUAAUUCGUUAUGUAAAGCUCUAUCAGCAGGGAAGCAAAUGACGGUACCUGAGUAAGAAGCCCCGGCGAACUACGUGCCAGCAGACGCGGUAAUACGGAGGGGGCAAGCGUUAUCCGGAUUUACUGGGUGUAACGGGAGCGUAGACGGCAGUGCAAGUCUGGAGCGAAAGUCGGGGGCUCAACCCCCGGACUGCUCUGGAAACUGUACGGCUGGAGUGCAGGAGAGGUAAGUGGAAUGCGUGGUGUAGCGGUGAAAUGCGUAGAGAUGAGGAGGAACACCAGUGGCGAAGGCGGCUUACUGGACUGUAACUGACGUUGAGGCGCGAAAGCGUGGGGAGCAAACAGGAUUAGAUACCCCGGUAGUC
RNAcentral lists this ribosomal RNA (440 nucleotides) under uncultured bacterium. Its description in RNAcentral is "partial 16S ribosomal RNA". It matches the Rfam family "Bacterial small subunit ribosomal RNA", at positions 338 to 795 of the family's 1533-position model. The record is from RNAcentral.